RNAcentral lists this long non-coding RNA (1000 nucleotides) under Anas platyrhynchos platyrhynchos (common mallard). Its description in RNAcentral is "lncRNA (ENSAPLG00000018775.1)". The record is from RNAcentral. Lineage: Eukaryota; Metazoa; Chordata; Aves; Anseriformes; Anatidae.
GUGGGACAGCCCUCCCACUUCGGCAUGUACCCUGAACAGAAAAAAAAAAACAACACACAAUGCACCCAUGAAAACAUUUCUUAGAGCCACAGGGACACCACAUGGGUUGAGGACAAAAUGCUGCGUAGUUCUGACAUUCAGAAAUAAAUCUUUUUAACAUUUGCCAUUAUAAGGUGACCCUAAAUUCCAAGUUUCAAUUCAAGCUCAACUUUAAGCACCAUCAUCAGGGCUAAAUUAGUCACGGGUAAAAUGAAAGACUGAAUUUUGGGUCAAACAAAAUUUCUCAGGUUCAACCAAAAUGGAAAGUCCAAAAUUAUUUAAUUAACAAAAAGGUUUUUUUUUUUUUUUUUUUUUUUUUUCUCUUUAAUAUUUUUUUGCUGAAUCCCUCUUUCUGCUUUUCCCUUUUCAGCUCGGUCACUGAAGCAAAACUCCCAUUAUUCAUCCAUCUCCACGCCAGCAUCUGCAGAGGGAUUGCGACAGAAGUGUAGCGAGGGCCAGCCCACACCAUUCGUCUUACAAAAAUGUUAAUGAGAAAAAAAAAGAAAGAAAAAGUGCUAGUGAGGAUGAAGAAGAAGAGAAAGUUGCACAGAUUUUGAUAAAGUCCUCGUUUGCUUUUUCAAGACAUACCCUGUUGCGGAGAAAGUGUCAUCGUGCAGUAGAGCCCAUCUCUAUUAAAUCUGUGCUGGACAGGGAGGUCUGCCUGAAAAGAAGCCAGAUUUAUGACUCCCUGGUUACUGAUGUUCAUCUGGGUCAGCUCUUCCUUCACUUUUUCUUUUGUUCCUGGCCCCUGUGCUGUGUGCCAGACUCUGAGCUGAUUUCCAGCCCUGCCCUGCCUCACUGGAGUCUUACGAAUCCGUUCCGAAUUAGGACAAAGUUUGUUGUGCUCUGUUUUUGCAAACGCUGCCUCUGGCUCCCUUACAACGCAGCGUCACUGCCCAUCAGUGCUGAAUGCCAUCAGGAGAUGUGUUCAAACAGGCGACAGCCCCAGAUGGUACAAUAA